UCCCUUAUAGCUCAGUCGGUAAAAAAAUCUGCCUGCAAUGCAGGAGACCCAGGUUCGAUUCCUGGGUCGGGAA
Molecule: transfer RNA, 73 nt
Filed under: Ovis aries (sheep)
Lineage: Eukaryota; Metazoa; Chordata; Mammalia; Artiodactyla; Bovidae
Rfam family: tRNA
About the family: Transfer RNA (tRNA) molecules are approximately 80 nucleotides in length. Their secondary structure includes four short double-helical elements and three loops (D, anti-codon, and T loops).
Source: Rfam by way of RNAcentral